This 253-nucleotide ribosomal RNA is filed under the name uncultured bacterium. RNAcentral's name for it is "partial 16S ribosomal RNA". It matches the Rfam family "Bacterial small subunit ribosomal RNA", at positions 524 to 776 of the family's 1533-position model. The record is from RNAcentral.
UACGGGGGGGGCAAGCGUUGUUCGGAAUUACUGGGCGUAAAGGGUUAGUAGGUGGCCAACUAAGUCAGACGUGAAAUCCCUCAGCUUAACUGGGGAACUGCGUCUGAUACUGGUUGGCUUGAGUGCAGGAGAGGAACGCGGAAUUCCAGGUGUAGCGGUGAAAUGCGUAGAUAUCUGGAGGAACACCGGUGGCGAAGGCGGCGUUCUGGACUGCAACUGACACUGAGGAACGAAAGCCAGGGGAGCAAACGGG